GUUUGCAUAUGCAAAAUGAUAAAAGUAGCAUUUUUAUUUAUUCUGAUAUGACGGUAUUCUUGUUUGACAGGCGUGACAGUGCAACUUUCCCAUGUAGUACCAAUGCCCAUAAUAUCUUUAUCUACAUUAUUUCUUGCAAUUUCACAAAAUCUCAAAUUCAACAGCUAUACAGUUUAAUCUUAUCCCAAAUUUCAUGCUAUCCACAUAAAAUAUUAAUUUGUAUCAAAGUUCCCACACAAGACUGGUCAACUUUUUGGCCAGAUAUUCUAUCUCAGCGAUUGGACCUUUUCUUUAUCCCUUUGAAAACCCAUGAUUCUAAGCCACUUCCAUCAUUCUUCUCAGGAUUUGUCUUGCUAUUUGCUAAGCCGUUUUUGAACCAACUUGCCAACCCAACCUGGCAUCUCACCAGCCCCGCCAAAACAA
This 423-nucleotide unclassified non-coding RNA is filed under the name Hevea brasiliensis (rubber tree). The record is from RNAcentral. Lineage: Eukaryota; Viridiplantae; Streptophyta; Magnoliopsida; Malpighiales; Euphorbiaceae.